UGGUGGAGCAUGUGGUUUAAUUCGAUGCAACGCGAAGAACCUUACCUACUCUUGACAUCCACAGAACUUAGCAGAGAUGCUUCGGUGCCUUCGGGAACUGUGAGACAGGUGCUGCAUGGCUGUCGUCAGCUCGUGUUGUGAAAUGUUGGGUUAAGUCCCGCAACGAGCGCAACCCUUAUCCUUUGUUGCCAGCACGUAAUGGUGGGAACUCAAGGGAGACUGCCGGUGACAAACCGGAGGAAGGUGGGGAUGACGUCAAGUCAUCAUGGCCCUUACGAGUAGGGCUACACACGUGCUACAAUGGCAGAUACAAAGUGAAGCGAACUCGCGAGAGCAAGCGGACCACAUAAAGUCUGUCGUAGUCCGGAUUGGAGUCUGCAACUCGACUCCANNAAGUCGGAANCGC
RNAcentral lists this ribosomal RNA (406 nucleotides) under Yersinia sp. AZTITEMP298. RNAcentral's name for it is "bacterial SSU rRNA". It matches the Rfam family "Bacterial small subunit ribosomal RNA", at positions 930 to 1335 of the family's 1533-position model. The record is from RNAcentral. Lineage: Bacteria; Pseudomonadati; Pseudomonadota; Gammaproteobacteria; Enterobacterales; Yersiniaceae.